UACGGGGGGCUGCAGUGGGGAAUAUUGGACAAUGGGCGAAAGCCUGAUCCAGCAACGCCGCGUGAGGGAUGACGGCCUUCGGGUUGUAAACCUCUUUCAGCAGGGACGAAGCGAAAGUGACGGUACCUGCAGAAGAAGCACCGGCCAACUACGUGCCAGCAGCCGCGGUAAUACGUAGGGUGCGAGCGUUGUCCGGAAUUAUUGGGCGUAAAGGGCUCGUAGGCGGUCUGUCGCGUCGGGAGUGAAAACUCAGGGCUUAACCCUGAGCCUGCUUCCGAUACGGGCAGACUAGAGGUAUGCAGGGGAGAACGGAAUUCCUGGUGUAGCGGUGAAAUGCGCAGAUAUCAGGAGGAACACCGGUGGCGAAGGCGGUUCUCUGGGCAUUACCUGACGCUGAGGAGCGAAAGUGUGGGGAGCGAACAGGAUUAGAUACCCGAGUAGUCAUCUUCUAGA
RNAcentral lists this ribosomal RNA (453 nucleotides) under uncultured Actinomycetes bacterium. RNAcentral's name for it is "bacterial SSU rRNA". It matches the Rfam family "Bacterial small subunit ribosomal RNA", at positions 340 to 805 of the family's 1533-position model. Lineage: Bacteria; Bacillati; Actinomycetota; Actinomycetes. The record is from RNAcentral.